Long non-coding RNA from Tachysurus fulvidraco (yellow catfish), 928 nucleotides. RefSeq lists it as uncharacterized. Lineage: Eukaryota; Metazoa; Chordata; Actinopteri; Siluriformes; Bagridae. The transcript has 2 exons. The record is from RefSeq and is a predicted model, not a curated record.
CACACGAUGCACCUUAAUUAGUUAAUAUAAAGCUGAUAUGAAAGUGGACUUUGUAGAAUUUGUAGAGUUUCAGUAGAAUUUCUCAUAAAGAAGCGAAAUUGAGACCCGGCCAUUAUCUUUGGUGAAAUAUUCCUGGGUUCAAACUUCAAGGUUUUUAUUUGGAACAACCAAAUCACCAGUGUUUAUAUUUCCUCGUUCUUUCUUCAUGACAACAAAAGAGCGCAUGACUUUAUGAGUACUAAUACAAUCUUAGAAUAAUAAUCAUAGUAAAAAAAAAAGCCUAAGCACUUUUACUGGUCUUGUGAUGUCAUGCUCCUUCCCAGUUCGCUCUCGGAUUAUCUCAGGUAUGCAGCCAAACAGGAAACAGGUAGUAGGAGAAUGGAACCAUGAAGAACAUUAGGCGUUAAAGGUUUAGACAGCGUGAAGCGUCUGAUACGAGAUGACAUAAAGACACGGCUGUGGAAUUUGCGACAGGGGUAGCAUGACACGCUGACAUGUUGAGGUGAGGCGUGAAGCUGAAGGAGCUUUAGAUCUGUGUACAUUCAUCAAGAGAAAGCACACACGAGCGUGACCUGCGAGGAGGAAACUUUCACACAUACUCAUCCCUGAGGCUGCAGUGGGUGUGGACAACAUGAAGACAUGGUGUGAGGUUAAAGUUUGACUGGAAGAUCUCACAUGUGUCCUGAACAGAGCCCUAACUCUGACUCAACCCCACUGAACACCUUUGGGAUGAACUGGAACUGGAGUCUCUUCACCAUCCCGACAUCAGCGUCUGAUCUCUCGAGCAAAGGGAAAUAAAUCUGAAAGAUGAUGUUCAACAUGUACAGGGUAACAUGUGAAAUGGUCAGCUUUCCACAAAUGUUUGUCUGAUUCCAUAAAUCAGCUGGUCAUUGAAUGUAUAAAUCAACAAGCUGGUAACUCAGUCUAA